Molecule: ribosomal RNA, 520 nt
Filed under: uncultured Glomus
Lineage: Eukaryota; Fungi; Glomeromycota; Glomeromycetes; Glomerales; Glomeraceae
Description: SSU rRNA
Rfam family: Eukaryotic small subunit ribosomal RNA
Source: RNAcentral
AGCAGCCGCGGUAAUUCCAGCUCCAAUAGCGUAUAUUAAAGUUGUUGCAGUUAAAAAGCUCGUAGUUGAAUUUCGGGAUCAAUAUGUCGGUCGUGCCUUCGGUACGUACUGGUAUCAUUGGUUUCUCCUUUCUGACGAACCAUGAUGUCAUUAAUUUGGUGUUAUGGGGAGUUAGGACUGUUACUUUGAAAAAAUUAGAGUGUUUAAAGCAGGCUUUAGCUUGAAUACAUUAGCAUGGAAUAAUGAAAUAGGACGUUCGAACCUAUUUUGUUGGUUUCUAGGAUCAACGUAAUGAUUAAUAGGGAUAGUUGGGGGCAUUAGUAUUCAAUUGUCAGAGGUGAAAUUCUUGGAUUUAUUGAAGACUAACUACUGCGAAAGCAUUUGCCAAGGAUGUUUUCAUUAAUCAAGAACGAAAGUUAGGGGAUCGAAGACGAUCAGAUACCGUCGUAGUCUUAACCAUAAACUAUGCCGACUAGGGAUCGGAUGAUGUUAAUUUUUAAUGUACUCAUUCGGCGCCUUA